Molecule: RNA transcript, 7341 nt
Organism: Corythoichthys intestinalis (scribbled pipefish)
Lineage: Eukaryota; Metazoa; Chordata; Actinopteri; Syngnathiformes; Syngnathidae
Gene: stk11ip
Gene name: serine/threonine kinase 11 interacting protein
Exons: 27
Source: RefSeq, a predicted model, not a curated record
AUCACGUGACUGUCGCCAAUAACACCACGAAUAAUACUAGUUUAAUGUUGUACCAUUUAUAAAAUGUUUGAGACAACACAUAAUGUUCCUUGUCAACUGGCGUGGUUGAAAUUACGCAGAUAUAUGUCACCAUGUCCAGUUUGCGCUUGAUACCAGGAAGUGUCGUAGUUGGCUAACUAGGUAGCUAGCUAACCACAGCUGCGUCUGAAAUGACAUUUUAGCUGAUUUGUGUCUGUUGACAUGACUCGUGGUGUGUCAGGGUUGUAGUGUUAUCGUUUUUAAAACUGGAGGGUUGUCAUUUUCUUCAGCAGCUCGUUGCUUACAAGGCUAGCCAAGGAUGUCUCGUACUUUGAGUGGUCAGUCUUCGCUUGUCAUUAGCCUGGCAACACUCCUCCGAAAUAAUGGCGAGUUGGUGCUCGGAGGCAGCAGCACGCUGACCCUGCCAGCGACAAGCUUGCAGCAGCUGAACCGACUGUUUGAGCAGCACUUGUUGUCCAGGAGUCAACAACAUGGCUUUCUAGCCCUGCCGUCCCAUCCAGCUGACACGGCAUCUUUGUUGCAGCUGCAGUUCCUCUUUGACAUCCUGCAAAAGACAAUUUCCCUUAAGCUCAUUAAUCCAUCAAGCACAAGACUGCAGUCUACAGUCAAGAUAUUCCCUUUUAAAUCUUUGAAGUGUUUGGAGCUGAAGAAUAUCCCACCACAUUGUCUUGAGGGGCUCAGAGGAGUUUAUUCCCAGUUGGAGGUCUUCAUCUGCUCAAAGAGCCUCAGCUCCCUGGAGGAGCUGCUUUCCCUGUGCGGCGGUGACCUCAGCUCUGCACUGCCGUGGCUAGAGCUUCACACGCUCAAUUUUAGCUACAACCUCAUAAUGUGCCUUGACCAGUCUUUGAGUCUUUUGAAUGUCCUCAAGUGUUUGGAUUUAAGCCACAACAAGAUUCAGGAGUGUGCAGAAUUUCUAAUGCCUUUGAGUGAAUUGGAACAUUUGAAUCUGGGCUACAAUUGCCUACAGAGGGCGCCAACACUUAGCUUCAGCUCCAGGGUAAAACUACUCACGCUGAUCCUCAGGAACAAUGAACUGGAGACGAUAAAUGGUGUCGAGCAGUUGUCCUCACUCCAACAUUUGGACUUGGCCUACAAUCUUCUACUGGAGCAUUCUCAACUGGCUCCUCUCUCAUUGCUUCAUUGCCUUAACAUAUUGAACCUGGAGGGCAACCCGCUGUAUUUCCAGAAGACCCACCGCACAUGUACUGUCCGACACCUCUCGCCAGAAGCUGCUGGCCAAAGACUUAAACUCGACGGCGCCCAGCUCUCCUCCUCUGAGUUAUCUGUUCUUCCGAAAGCUGGAAAACUGAUGGUCCACGUCCAGUCGUGUCCUCCAGCAGUGUUAGAACAAAGUCUUGCUGAAUUGUCAAGUGGAGCUGGAGAGCUCAGCGACAGUCUGUCAGUGGGGGAGGUGAUAGCUUCACGUGUUCGUAAGAAAAAGUCCAAGACAAAAGUGAAAGUGCGACGUGCGAGUAUCUCUGAGCCCAGUGACACGGACUACAAGGCAGUGCCCUCGUCACAGGACAUUGUCCUUCCACACAAAGAGGAAAUUGAGCGCAUGUCAAGUUUCAGAGAUCAGUUGGGUGAGGACUGGCUGCGGUACCAGCACCAUCUAGACGCAGAAGCUGUACAGUCACCUGUGACUACUGUUCAAGGCCAGGAAACCCUCUCCAACAGCCUUGUCACCUCCCUGAGCCUUUCCCAAGAGGUUCUUCCUCAUCCACUAAUGUCAUCCGAGCCAAGGGUGCAGACGUCUGAGGUCGAGGCAGAGCAAGAGACAGAGUCCACAUUGCAGUGGCCCAGUCACAGCUCGCAGCACUCUGAGUCAACCCUCGAAGAGACUGCAGUAGAUGAUCAGGUGGACACACCGGUGUGUUCUCAGCAACUGAAUUUGAGCUCUCACAUAUCAGUGACAAAAGAAAGUGGCGAUUUCAAAGAGGGAGAAGAUGACAAAGAUCUGGGAGUGGACCAGUGUCUGCCGCUUCUGGUGGGUGUGUUAUCUGACAAAGAAGAUGAAAAGUGUCAGGAUGCGGGGAGAAAGGAGGUGUUUCUUCGUGUCAAACAGGGCCAUUUACUUGAGGUGGACGUGCAAUCGGGCCAAGAAAGAUGUCGCCUCGGGCUGGACUGUCUGACUAGAGUGGAUGCCACACAGGCACCUUGGACACACAAGGAGAGCAAAGCAAUGUUCCCAGCUGUUGAGAUCCAGUUUGACUAUAUCAUGAAGGAAAAGAAGCGGAAAUGUUAUGUCCUUUUGGAUCAUGACCCACAGCAGGCACUUAAGGAUCUUGUUGAUGUGCUCUCAGCUGUGGUGGAGGCUAAACGCCAUUGUGACGCUGGGCACUUUCCAGACAGUGUUUAUUUGCAGUGCCUUCGUUGUGGGUCAGAGUUCAUGCAGGCUGGAGGUCGAGAUAGGAGAGCAAGGCCUAUGAGGCUGGCAGAGCACGGAGAUGAGCGGGAUGGCAAAGAGAUGAUGGAAUGGGACGAGGAGGACAAAGGAAGCUGUGAUAACUGUCCAGAAUGUGGAGGUGACCACUUAAUCCAGCUACAGGGCCAGUUAUUUCCUCUCAGCAGUACACCAAUCCAACACCCAGCAAGAGCAGGCAGUGAACACAAAAAGGUGAACCCUGAUAUUACAGGUACUCCGGUGGAAGCUUCCACCACUGCUGCGAUUGAGGACAUCAACACACUGGACAGCUCAUUCAAUAUUGGUGAGGGCGGGACAAACUCAUUCUCCCUGUCCUACAACGCUAACAGUCAAAGCAAGGACGAUCUUGCUGGCAGCUACAGCUACAGUUCCACACCACCCAGUAUCCAGCCUCUUGGAAGCACAAACUCAACUGGUAAUUUGGAACUGCUGACUGAGGCCUUUUCGGUGGUGGACCAUCGGCUGAAGCUUUUCUUGGAUGUGGACGUCUUUGAAGAGGAAGAGGAGCUCAGUUGUUUCCUACAGACAUCUCUUGUGAGAUUUGGGGAGCCACAAGAGUGUCCAUCUCUGGUAGUGGUGUCUGACAAAAGAAUCUACAUCCUUGACGUGAAAACAGGAGCGAUGAAAGGGCAGCUCUCUGAUUGGCUCCACAAACGUGAAUGCUACCCAAUAUUAGAGCUCAGCUACCUGGAGGUGGGACUUGGCUCUCAGAGUAUUCACAUGGCAUUUGACGAUAGGGGAGCAAGUGGCGUAGCAUACACCCUCUUGGUGCGAGACGGUGUACGCUGCAAACGCUUCUUUGGCCUGCUGACAGGAAUUGUGCGUGAGAUGGCACACCGGACCGACAGCAAACUGAGGUCAAUCUCAACCGCCAGACUUAAUCCUCAACAUCAUCUCUGGCCUCUUGUGUGCGAAGACAUCCAGACAGAUGUCGAGGAUGGCCAACUACAGUUUUGCUACGUUCUGGCGUUUUUGCCGCAAGAUAACAUGUGGGUUCCAAUGACUGUGCUGGCAACCCGAGAGACACUUUACCUGUUGAGCGAGGAUCACCAGUGGGGGAAAGGAACAAACCACCCGACGACACUCAACGACAGCCUGACGCAGAGCAGCGGGAGCUUCUCUGUUCUCGAAACACUGCCCAUCAGCUGUGUAAGCUCAGUCCACCUGUGGCCCAAUGAGCAGUGUCGGAUGGAUGUCAAGCUGUACGACGAGACACAGAAAGAGGAGAAGACCUGGCAAGUGCGUUCAGAGAGUUCAGAGCUCCUACAGGACCUGCUGGCAUGGGUCCGAACACAGUGGGAAGCCAUGUUCGGUGUUAGGCUACACACAAUUAUGCACAGCAAAGAAACAUGACAAAUUAUGACAAGUUUCAUUUUUUUUUCUUUCAUGUGCCUCCAAUGCGUCAGAUAGGCCGAAGUCCAUCUGCUGGUUGUAUUGUUGGUUAAAUGAAGCAAACCUUCUAUCUUUUGGAAAAAUGAUGCUGUGAAGGAAAAUUGUGGAUUAUUUUUUGUUUUUAUUUUUUUGUAUUCAAGUCGUGGGAUUCUGAGCAUGAACAUGACUGCAUGAGUCAUGAACAUGUGAAGCUGUCAUCAAGCAUACAGUAUGUGGGAACCCUUCCCCACAAUGGAUAUUUGAGUCCCAACAUCCUGCAGCUGCUGUUUGACCACAAGCUGCUUCAAUGAAGUUGUGCAUCCUUUGUGAGUCUUGUGAACACUACGCUAACCAAAUCCACUGUGUAAAGAUUUCUUCUUGCCGCCAGUGCACCACAUGUGUUGUGCAUAUGAUUGUAGAAGACACAAAUUACCUUCUGCUGAACCAAUGUGAUCCAAACCAGGAUACCUGUAUAUGACUUUGAAAAUUGAUUGUAAAAUAAAUGCAAAGAACAAACAGUGGCCUGUCUGUAGGAGAGCUUUCAGGGGAAAGCAAUGGUGAGUAGCCCCCUAAAAAUAUUAGGGAGGGUGGGGGUAAAUGACUGAAGAACUCUUUUUGUGGUGAAAAAAAAAAAAACCCUUUAAAUCAUUUCGCAGGAUCAGCAACACUCAGAAGGUGUUUAUGUCAAAAACAACAUCCAAUGAAGACAUCACCAGAGUGACAUAGGAUAUGUAAACGAUUUGUGAUCUCUCAAACAUGAAUUUAAAAAAAAAAACAGCUCUGGAACAUUUUAUGGCCAGGUGAGAAAAGAACCAAUUUGUACUCAUGUGGUAAGAAAGCCCAUGAUCCAAUCACUUUAUCAUUGUAUCGGUGUAUCAAUACCGUACAUCAGUGAAGAAUGGUGGUGGUAGUGCAACGGACUGGAAACAUAUUUGGUUUCCAGUGAAACUCAUGGUUUAUUGGUGAUGUGACUGCUGACAAAGUCAUCAGGAAGAAUUCUGUUUUUCGAGCAAUUUUAUAUUGUUUCAUAAUCAGCAAAAUGUUUUAAAAUAUGACACUUUCAAAAUUCUGACGGAAAACAACCUGCAGGAUACUACAAAUGCAACCAGGUUUUUUAAUUUAUUUUUUAUGGCAAACAAGUGGAAUGCAAUGCAAUGGCCUGACCUGAAUCCAAUUGAACAUGCAUUUCCUUGCUGAAGGUAAAAUGCUCAGAGGUCAAGGAUCUGAAGACAGCUGCAUCAGAGGCCUGGCAGAGCAUCACGCAGAACACUCAAGUCUUCUACACGCAUCCAAUUCCUCCACCCAUACAAAUACCUCAGCAUUAUUUCACGCACGCUCAUUUGCUUAUUGAAGGAUCCAAAUCAAGUGCCCUGUCCUGUAAAUAGUUAUGCCUGUUGCCAAAUUGGAUUAAAGGUGCAAAGGCCCAACUCCACUCUCCACUCCUUGUGUUCUGACCGACAUCCCGAAGCAACUCUAUGGGGUGGACAUGCCCGCCAACCCACCUUGAUGACUACAAAGUCAAUUAUACAUGGCACAGGCAGGAACCUGAGCUCGCGUGGCCAUCUCAAGAGGAAUGAUCGGACGAGAUGAUCCCCCACCGUUCCAACCCUUCUCACCACGACAAGUACCACCAGCGGGAUUCUGAUUUCCACGAGGCGGACCUGUACUACCCAGAGGGGUAGCGUUACAGUCCGGAAACACAGCUAGCCCACCCAAGGUAUCAAUCUAGAGCAUCCAGGGCCAACGGUCGGGAGCCACCUACACCUCAUCCUGUUUCGUCAAGCACCAUGAUAAGAGAAGAACUUCAGAGCGGCUUGCUACAGCAGUCACAGCAGGCUGUAAAGUUGACGUAGCUGCACUCAACUCACUUCAAGAAGAAAUGCGUAAACUAGCCCAAGCUGUGUCAAGUCUCCAGCGAGCUUCACAGUACUCAGCUACAAACCCUUCCCAGAGGCAGUGUUGUUAAUCUUACUGAAAAAAAGUAAUUAAUUAUAGUUACAAAUUACUUCUCCCAAAAAGUAAUUGCGUUAGUAACUCAAUUACCUGAAUGUAAGAGUAAUUAGUUACUUGGCAAAGUAAUUGGUGAUAAUUACUUUUUUUUUUUCCUCAAAAAAAAAAAAAAAAAAAAAAAAAAAACAUGGGCCACACUAUGUGAAGUUUUUUUGUGAAGGUUUUUGGUCCAAUUGGCCCGAGCCCAAUUCUUUACCCUAAUUUACCCUUUGCCCUGAAUCAACUGUUAAAAGUUGUUAAAAUUGCUCCCAUUAUUGCAUUAGUUCCCUUCUCUCUACUUUCAACAUAUGAAAGUUUGAAAACUGUUUCAUCAUUUAAAGAUAGAUUAAAGUCAAGAUUUUGCCGAUUUAGAAGUAUUUUAGAUAAAAAGUCACUUAGGUUCGCAAGGAAGGUUCUCUACAACAGAGCCGUAAUAAAAGGUCUGCAUCUAUUGCCGUGUCUGUCAUUUUGCAUCUAGUUAUAUCUAUAUACAGUAUAUGUGAUAUCUACAAUGUCUACCAUAUCUACCAUAACAUGCGGGCGUAGUUUGUGGGCUAUCGGCUACAACAGAUAUUAUUGGAGCUACCUAGCAUCGCGUUUGCUCGGCGUCACAACUUUCUUGCCUCCUCCCCACUCCUGCUCUGCUCUGUCGUCUCGGUGAGUCCGUCUCCCUCAGACUUUUCGACCAAUAAAAUAACUCAUAGUAACGCAUGCCUUUCCAUCCUCAGUAACGGUAACGGCGUUGCCAAGAUGAGAAAAGUAAUUAAUUAGAUUACCCACAAUAAAAAAAUAACGCCGUUAGUAACGCCGUUAUUAACAACAUUGCCCAGAGGGAAACCACUCCUCCUCAAGUUGAAAAUGAAGAGGACUGGCCGGAACCUCCACCAUUGCCCGACCCAACGGACAGAGAAAAACAGGCAGCUUAACCCUUGACCGAGCAGUUAAAUCACCUAAUCGUACAACUACAGCAGAUUGCAAAAUUCUAAAAUAUGCCCAUUGGAUCAGUCUUAAUUUAAUGGUCUGAUGAUGCUACAGGCAUAAAGAUAAAAACAUACAUUUUGGCCUGUUUAAAAACAUGCUGUCUAAAUAAGAAGACAUUUGAAUGGAAAUAUACUGAGGUUUUACCUUGGUAGCUCAGAUAUGUUGAGUUUGAAUUUGAAAAAAAAAAAAAAAAAUUCUUAUUCCAAAGGGUUCGGUUAAUGCACGUGUGAAACUCAUGGGGUUGGGUACCUUUAGCAAGGUUAAGAACCACUGCUUUAGUAGUUUUUGAAAACAAAGGUUUGAAUCGAAUGGUGUAUCGCCUCACCAAAACACAAGAAAGUUAGUAUAAGUCAAUACAGAUUUAGGUUGCAUUGAUAAUUUAGCCUAUCACUUAAUUUAGGGUGACCAUAUUUUGAUUUCCAAAAAAGAGUGCACUCGGGCCUCGAGAUACUUGAAUUUCACUCGAAGUUCACUCAAAGAUGCCUAUAUCAAUUUAAUAUAUUUAAAGUGUGCCGCCUCCGUAUGGACAGAAAAAU